UACGAAGGGGGCUAGCGUUGUUCGGAAUUACUGGGCGUAAAGGGCGCGUAGGCGGUGUGUCAAGUCAGGCGUGAAAGCCCCGGGCUCAACCUGGGAACCGCGCUUGAGACUGGCAGACUCGAGUUCGGGAGAGGAUGGUGGAAUUCCCAGUGUAGAGGUGAAAUUCGUAGAUAUUGGGAAGAACACCGAUGGCGAAGGCAGCCAUCUGGACCGACACUGACGCUGAGGCGCGAAAGCGUGGGGAGCAAACAGG
RNAcentral lists this ribosomal RNA (253 nucleotides) under uncultured bacterium. RNAcentral describes it as "partial 16S ribosomal RNA". It matches the Rfam family "Bacterial small subunit ribosomal RNA", at positions 524 to 776 of the family's 1533-position model. The record is from RNAcentral.